This 503-nucleotide ribosomal RNA is filed under the name Aspergillus nidulans. RNAcentral's name for it is "partial 18S ribosomal RNA". The stretch from base 127 to 280 matches the Rfam family "5.8S ribosomal RNA". The record is from RNAcentral. Lineage: Eukaryota; Fungi; Ascomycota; Eurotiomycetes; Eurotiales; Aspergillaceae.
ACCUCCCACCCGUGACUACCUAACACUGUUGCUUCGGCGGGGAGCCCCCCAGGGGCGAGCCGCCGGGGACCACUGAACUUCAUGCCUGAGAGUGAUGCAGUCUGAGCCUGAAUACAAAUCAGUCAAAACUUUCAACAAUGGAUCUCUUGGUUCCGGCAUCGAUGAAGAACGCAGCGAACUGCGAUAAGUAAUGUGAAUUGCAGAAUUCAGUGAAUCAUCGAGUCUUUGAACGCACAUUGCGCCCCCUGGCAUUCCGGGGGGCAUGCCUGUCCGAGCGUCAUUGCUGCCCUCAAGCCCGGCUUGUGUGUUGGGUCGUCGUCCCCCCCGGGGGACGGGCCCGAAAGGCAGCGGCGGCACCGUGUCCGGUCCUCGAGCGUAUGGGGCUUUGUCACCCGCUCGAUUAGGGCCGGCCGGGCGCCAGCCGGCGUCUCCAACCUUAUUUUUCUCAGGUUGACCUCGGAUCAGGUAGGGAUACCCGCUGAACUUAAGCAUAUCAAUAAGCG